This 47-nucleotide ribosomal RNA is filed under the name Thielaviopsis radicicola. RNAcentral describes it as "partial 28S ribosomal RNA". Lineage: Eukaryota; Fungi; Ascomycota; Sordariomycetes; Microascales; Ceratocystidaceae. The record is from RNAcentral.
UUGACCUCGGAUCAGGUAGGAGUACCCGCUGAACUUAAGCAUAUCAU